RNAcentral lists this transfer-messenger RNA (377 nucleotides) under Allosphingosinicella humi. RNAcentral's name for it is "Sphingosinicella humi Alphaproteobacteria transfer-messenger RNA". It matches the Rfam family "Alphaproteobacteria transfer-messenger RNA". Rfam says of the family: Bacterial tmRNA, also known as 10Sa RNA or SsrA, is named for its dual tRNA and mRNA-like properties. The record is from Rfam by way of RNAcentral. Lineage: Bacteria; Pseudomonadati; Pseudomonadota; Alphaproteobacteria; Sphingomonadales; Sphingomicrobiaceae.
AACCUUUAAAUGCGCGCGAAUAGGGCCUAUAUGGGCCGUGCCGGGUUCGCCCGGCUAUGGCGAUAAACUGCGGCGUAUAAUAGGCGCAGCGGACCCGGGGGCAGUACCCGGCGGCUCCACCAGGAGCUGGGUGAGUGUCGGCGGCACGCUUCAUGCGGGCCAAUGAGCAACCCAGUUGCUGAUGGGGCCGAACCAGGAUCGACGUGUGUUGAAAGGCGCUGUUUUCGCCCGGGCUGAGUAACCCGUUAAAGGCUCAGAACCAUAAGUGCCAACGAUAACGAGGCUCUUGCGAUUGCUGCGUAACCCGGUCCUCACGGACUGAGUUAUAUCAGACAAAAGCGCGGUUCGGACCCUACCGGGCAACAGAAAGGGAAACC